GAUAUUAACUUGCUAAUAUUGUCAGCUAAGUGGCGCACGGGUGAGUAAUAUAUAGUUAAUCUGCCCCAAAGAAGAGAAUAAUUGUUGGAAACGACUUGUAACGCUCUAUAUGCCUUUAUUACAUAAGUAAGCAAGGGAAACAUUUAUGGCUUUGGGAUGAGACUGUACGGUAUCAGCUAGUUGGUGAGGUAAUGGCUCACCAAGGCAAUGACAUCUAACUGGUUUGAGAGGAUGAUCAGUCACACUGGAACUGAGACACGGUCCAGACUCCUACGGGAGGCAGCAGUGGGGAAUAUUGCACAAUGGAGGAAACUCUGAUGCAGCAACGCCGCGUGGAGGAUGACACAUUUCGGUGCGUAAACUCCUUUUAUAUGAGAAGAUAAUGACGGUAUCAUAUGAAUAAGCACCGGCUAACUCCGUGCCAGCAGCCGCGGUGAUACGGGGGGUGCAAGCGUUACUCGGAAUCACUGGGCGUAAAGAGCAUGUAGGCUGGUCUGUAAGUUGGAAGUGAAAUCCUAUGGCUUAACCAUAGAACUGCUUCCAAAACUGCAGACCUAGAAUAUGGUAGAGGGUAGAUGGAAUUUCUGGUGUAAGGUAAAAUCCGUAGAGAUCAGAAGGAAUACCGAUUGCGAAGGCGAUCUACUGGAACAUUAUUGACGCUGAGAUGCGAAAGCGUG
RNAcentral lists this ribosomal RNA (677 nucleotides) under uncultured Arcobacter sp. Its description in RNAcentral is "bacterial SSU rRNA". It matches the Rfam family "Bacterial small subunit ribosomal RNA", at positions 71 to 763 of the family's 1533-position model. Lineage: Bacteria; Pseudomonadati; Campylobacterota; Epsilonproteobacteria; Campylobacterales; Arcobacteraceae. The record is from RNAcentral.